This 253-nucleotide ribosomal RNA is filed under the name uncultured bacterium. Its description in RNAcentral is "partial 16S ribosomal RNA". It matches the Rfam family "Bacterial small subunit ribosomal RNA", at positions 524 to 776 of the family's 1533-position model. The record is from RNAcentral.
GACAGAGGCCUCAAGCGUUAGGCGGAAUCACUGGGCUUAAAGCGCGUGUAGGCGGCCCGGUAAGUCCGCUGUGAAAGUCCAGGGCUCAACCCUGGGAUGCCGGUGGAUACUGUCGGGCUCGAGUCCGGAAGAGGCGAGUGGAAUUCCUGGUGUAGCGGUGAAAUGCGCAGAUAUCAGGAGGAACACCAAUGGCGAAGGCAGCUCGCUGGGACGUGACUGACGCUGAGACGCGAAAGCGUGGGGAGCAAACAGG